AUGGGCUGCUACACAAAAAAGGAAGGAAUUGGGAGAAGAAGAAGGGUGGACGAUGAUGGUCUGUGGAUAGCAGGUUGUUCUCUGGCAGAGUGGUUUGCCGAAGUGCUAGAAUGUUGGUGUUCAGUGAUGAAAAUGAAGGAAUACAUAGAAGUGUGGCUUUGUGGAGAAUUUACGGUGAAGGUUGAAGGGAAAAAGGUUUUGUAUUGGGUUGUCCUGUCUAGAAAUUACAGAUGGCAGAAGGUGUAUUAA
Non-coding RNA from Vicia faba (fava bean), 249 nucleotides. Lineage: Eukaryota; Viridiplantae; Streptophyta; Magnoliopsida; Fabales; Fabaceae. The record is from the annotation of a GenBank genome assembly.